Long non-coding RNA from Ornithorhynchus anatinus (platypus), 295 nucleotides. RefSeq lists it as uncharacterized. Lineage: Eukaryota; Metazoa; Chordata; Mammalia; Monotremata; Ornithorhynchidae. The record is from RefSeq and is a predicted model, not a curated record. The transcript is spliced from 2 exons.
CUGGCCCUCCCAAGUGGUCCUGUUGGAUUGACACGGCUUUUCUUCCUCUGGGCAAAUUCCCUAGAGGGGGUGAUUCUGGCCUAUCUGGAGGCUUGAAGAGAAGUAAAAGGAGACCCUGGUUUUGUUCCAGGAAGCCAUGAGACUGAGCCUGAACACCUGCCCUCCAUACUUGGUUAUUCCACCGAAUACCACGUUGUCGAUAUGUAUCAUGAGGAGAUUAGAAAAUUCCAUGUGGUCGUGAGUGAAAGAAGAAUGCAUUGAAAUAAUAAAGGAAUGAAAUGAAGUUCCAGUCUCA